RNAcentral lists this long non-coding RNA (234 nucleotides) under Vitis vinifera (wine grape). RNAcentral's name for it is "long non-coding RNA (VVIN_LNC003161)". The record is from RNAcentral. Lineage: Eukaryota; Viridiplantae; Streptophyta; Magnoliopsida; Vitales; Vitaceae.
UUGCAAUAGCCCCUAGACGCAACCCAGAUUUAUCAGGCAUAGGGCCUUGGAGUGAAGAUUUCAUACCCUAGCAAAAGUUGGUUGUGCAGUAGGGUGGGAACCACUAGCCUGCACCCACUUAUGAAACCUUGCACUAACCUUGACUUAGUGGCAUUGACUUGCCCAUACAAAUUUUGGUUUUUCACGGCAGCAAUACAGCCUGCAGGUGAGCCAUGCACCAUCCAAAACCAUUUU